RNAcentral lists this ribosomal RNA (496 nucleotides) under uncultured bacterium. RNAcentral describes it as "partial 16S ribosomal RNA". It matches the Rfam family "Bacterial small subunit ribosomal RNA", at positions 29 to 507 of the family's 1533-position model. The record is from RNAcentral.
AUGCACGCUGGCGGCGUGCCUAAUACAUGCCAGUCGAGCGAACAGACGAGGAGCUUGCUCCUCUGACGUUAGCGGCGGACGGGUGAGUAACACGUGGAUAACCUACCUAUAAGACUGGGAUAACUUCGGGAAACCGGAGCUAAUACCGGAUAAUAUAUUGAACCGCAUGGUUCAAUAGUGAAAGACGGUUUUGCUGUCACUUAUAGAUGGAUCCGCGCCGCAUUAGCUAGUUGGUAAGGUAACGGCUUACCAAGGCAACGAUGCGUAGCCGACCUGAGAGGGUGAUCGGCCACACUGGAACUGAGACACGGUCCAGACUCCUACGGGAGGCAGCAGUAGGGAAUCUUCCGCAAUGGGCGAAAGCCUGACGGAGCAACGCCGCGUGAGUGAUGAAGGUCUUCGGAUCGUAAAACUCUGUUAUUAGGGAAGAACAAAUGUGUAGGUAACUAUGCACGUCUUGACGGUACCUAAUCAGAAAGCCACGGCUAACUACGUG